Molecule: long non-coding RNA, 663 nt
Filed under: Nicotiana benthamiana
Lineage: Eukaryota; Viridiplantae; Streptophyta; Magnoliopsida; Solanales; Solanaceae
Description: long non-coding RNA (NBEN_LNC020513)
Source: RNAcentral
AUAUUAUAUGUAAUUACUUGACUGUGUACUUGUGAGCAUCUGGUGUUGUCUGUGAAUACUUGACUUGACUGUAUUCUGUUUGUUGGUUGUUGUGUGUGAAUAGCUGUUCUGGUUGUAUUCUCUUUGUUGAAAAAGUUGUUCAUUUAAGCCGGUUCAUUGACUAUGGCUUCUAGCACAAGUACUGGUGCCUCCCUUUCCCUAGACUCUUCCAGUCCCCUUUUUGUAUAUUCUUCUGAUGUCCCUGGGGUAUCUCUCGCUCCCACUCCCUUUUCGGGUAGUGGUUAUGGGGGCUGGAGACGUAAAAUGAUUGUUGCCUUAUUCGCCAAAAACAAAAUCAGUUUUGUUGAUGGCACAUACUCCCGACCUACCACCAAUGUGGCUCAACAAAGGUUGUGGGAUAGGUGCAACAACAUGAUGAUCGACCUACCACCAAUGUGGCUCAACAAAGGUUGUGGGAUAGGUGCAACCACAUGGUGAUUUCUUGGUUGACUGCUUCUAUUUCCCCUGCAAUUGCUGAAUUUGUGCAGUACUCUGACACUGCACAAAGCAUAUGGUCCCAACUCCAGGCCAGAUAUGGCAUUGCAAACAGGACCAAAAUUUUUGAACUGAAAAGAGAGUUGUCUCACACCUCUCAAGGGUCCUUAGAUAUAGCUUCUUAUUUCN